GGUAUUAUGUACAUCACUUUGCCU
RNAcentral lists this non-coding RNA (24 nucleotides) under Arabidopsis thaliana (thale cress). The record is from RNAcentral. Lineage: Eukaryota; Viridiplantae; Streptophyta; Magnoliopsida; Brassicales; Brassicaceae.